Non-coding RNA from Pandoraea thiooxydans, 73 nucleotides. The record is from Rfam. Lineage: Bacteria; Pseudomonadati; Pseudomonadota; Betaproteobacteria; Burkholderiales; Burkholderiaceae.
GCCGGAAUAGCUCAGUUGGUAGAGCAGCGCAUUCGUAAUGCGAAGGUCGGGGGUUCGACUCCUCUUUCCGGCA